RNAcentral lists this ribosomal RNA (482 nucleotides) under uncultured bacterium. RNAcentral describes it as "partial 16S ribosomal RNA". It matches the Rfam family "Bacterial small subunit ribosomal RNA", at positions 30 to 507 of the family's 1533-position model. The record is from RNAcentral.
AUUGAACGCUGGCGGCAUGCUUUACACAUGCAAGUCGUACGGUAACAGGCCGCAAGGUGCUGACGAGUGGCGAACGGGUGAGUAAUGCAUCGGAACGUGCCCAGUCGUGGGGGAUAACUACUCGAAAGAGUAGCUAAUACCGCAUACGAUCUAUGGAUGAAAGCGGGGGACCGUAAGGCCUCGCGCGAUUGGAGCGGCCGAUGUCAGAUUAGGUAGUUGGUGGGGUAAAGGCUCACCAAGCCAACGAUCUGUAGCUGGUCUGAGAGGACGACCAGCCACACUGGGACUGAGACACGGCCCAGACUCCUACGGGAGGCAGCAGUGGGGAAUUUUGGACAAAGGGCGCAAGCCUGAUCCAGCAAUGCCGCGUGCAGGAAGAAGGCCUUCGGGUUGUAAACUGCUUUUGUACGGAACGAAACGGCUCUGGUUAAUACCCGGGGCUAAUGACGGUACCGUAAGAAUAAGCACCGGCUAACUACGUG